This 284-nucleotide ribosomal RNA is filed under the name Salmonella enterica subsp. enterica serovar Litchfield. RNAcentral describes it as "partial 16S ribosomal RNA". It matches the Rfam family "Bacterial small subunit ribosomal RNA", at positions 1232 to 1515 of the family's 1533-position model. Lineage: Bacteria; Pseudomonadati; Pseudomonadota; Gammaproteobacteria; Enterobacterales; Enterobacteriaceae. The record is from RNAcentral.
GGCGCAUACAAAGAGAAGCGACCUCGCGAGAGCAAGCGGACCUCAUAAAGUGCGUCGUAGUCCGGAUUGGAGUCUGCAACUCGACUCCAUGAAGUCGGAAUCGCUAGUAAUCGUGGAUCAGAAUGCCACGGUGAAUACGUUCCCGGGCCUUGUACACACCGCCCGUCACACCAUGGGAGUGGGUUGCAAAAGAAGUAGGUAGCUUAACCUUCGGGAGGGCGCUUACCACUUUGUGAUUCAUGACUGGGGUGAAGUCGUAACAAGGUAACCGUAGGGGAACCUGC